AUAAACUCUGUAGGCACUGAAGUCUGACUUCAGGAUUAGAAUAAGUAAAUGGUAGAUUGGAGGAAAUUCUUGUUGUGUUUGGCACUAUUCAUAUGAUGUUGGUCAUGCAUGCAGGUCUGAAAAUAAGAAUGCUAGAGGAUGACCUGAGUAGGUCUGAGGGAGGUUGGGCCUUGAUUCAAAGGAUGAAGGAUAACACCCGUGAUAAAAAGAUGACAGAGUUGGGAGCUUUUGGUUUUAAAAAGCUGAAGAGGGAUUUUACUUGUGGUCUUCAGGAGAAAGAUCCAUUGAAAAUUAAAAGUGGUUGUUGAGUUUUUAAUCUAUAGUGAAAGGGGACCAAGAAUGUUAUCUGCUGGGGUGGUUCAGGCUGCAAGGAACAGAAAUCCUUACCAGUACCCUAACGGAAUUAGCUCAUGUAACUGGAAAUGUUGGUGUAGGGCAGGUCUGGGGGCUGGUUGUGUUAGCAGCUAAGUCCUAUCAGCUCAGUGAUCUGUUUUUCUACUCUACUGGCUACAGAAUCCACUUCAUCCUAACUUGUUUAUGUUCUGGUUGUAAGAUAGCAACAGCUGGCACUGUGGGCUUUGCUGUUUGCAUUCAGAAGGAUAUAUAUAUAUGGGGGAAAAAAGUCUUCUCUUCCAACAGUGAAAUGAAAAUGUUUUUCUCUUCAUCUUUUAGGGCCGAUUUAGAGCCCAUGCAUCUCUCUGCAUCAAUAACAGUCUCCAGCAGAAUGUCAUUCACAGAUCAUUGGAGAAACCCUCUUAGAACCAACAGUAAUGAAAACACAGAAGGCCCUGAAGUCAUCCGAUUUCCUACCAUCAAGUUGGCUUUCCAAUCCCAGAGGCCCUCUGGCACACAUAUGAAGAGAGAUGGGAUGAUGGGUUGGAGUUUAUAAAAGUGAGUCUUAUUGAUAUCUAUGAAGAUAUCAAGAUGCUAAGUGCUGUAGAUUUAGAAGUCACAAAAUGUCCAACAAUUACGUAUCAACCACUUAGAAUAAGUUUAUUAUGGAGUGAGCAUAAAUCCCCCUUUCUUCUCCUAUCUAACUUGAUAGUGUUUCUCAUUUAAAAUAUUAUUCAAAGUCUGUUUUGCAAUUCUAAGAUUAUAAAAUGGUUUUUAAUCUUCAUUUUAAAAUAGGAAAUGUAUGCCCAAGGGUCCAUCCUCUAAGACAUCUUUAUGAGGUGUGGACAGGGCAGGCUGGUCUAAGCCUAGAAGUGGAGGGUGGAGGCCAAGGCACCUGAGCCCUUGGGAUCAUCACCAGCACUGGUCCCAGUGCGUUGGGUUGUUUCUUGGGUUGGCUGUCUGGCUGGGUCAUGUCUCCCACACUUGUUCCUUCAGAGAUGACCUCCCUGCUGAGAUGAGGGGGUCACUGGCAAUAGGCUUCUACCACACAGUGGAAAGCCUGGAGGCAGCCCCUCCAUCUUUUGUCCUACUGUACUUGGCUUCUGAUGACACAACCAAUGAUUGUUCAUUCAGUGUCUUCUCUGUUCUCUUGACAUACUCAUUUUUGCUUCAAUCCCUCUCAUGUAAAAAGACUUUGUUUAAAAAGUCUUAUGUUUUCUCAUUUUGAUUUAGAGAAAACACUGGCUUUUCAAGGUUGUUAUUCAAGAUCC
Molecule: long non-coding RNA, 1604 nt
Organism: Ursus maritimus (polar bear)
Lineage: Eukaryota; Metazoa; Chordata; Mammalia; Carnivora; Ursidae
Source: Ensembl